GGGAAGCAAGCGUGUCUUACCAUGGCAGAGCAGGAGAGAGAAAGAGUGAAGGGGAAGUGCCACACACUUUCAAACAACCAGAUCGCAUGAGAAUUCACUCACAGUCAAGAACAGCAAUGGGGAAGUCCAUGCCCAUGAUUCAAUCACCUCUCACCAGACCCCUCCCCUGACAUGUGGGGAUUAAAAUUCAAGAUGAGAUUUGGGUGGGGAUGCAGAGCCAAACCAUAUCACAUGGUCAACACAAGCUUCUUGGUGAUGCCCCAAACUUCAGAACCAGUUAAAGGUUUACCAUCAGCCAGAAGAGCUGUGGGAAUGAGCCUCCCAGAAAGAAGAGAUGGAAGGUGUUUGGCAUCUGCAGUGAUGAUGAUGAUGAUGAUCAUGAUCAUGAUCAUGAUGCUGGCUAAAUGCCGACUCUGAGCCCUGCAUGAUGGUAAGCAGUGUCUAUGGAUUGGCUCUUUAAUCCUCAUAACAAUGUCUAUCUAAUGUCUAUCUAGAGGUAGAUAUUAAGAUAAUGCCUAUUUUUCAAAUGAAGAAACUGAGCCUCCAAGAGAUUAAGUAACUGGCUCAAGGUCACACAGUUGGUAAAUUGAAACAUGAGUGCUUACAUGGAUGUUUUCCAGGGAUUGAGGCCGCAUUAACUGGUGGGGAGAGAAAUGAAGAGCCCAGCACAAGGGGUGGACUGAUGGGAGCAUGUUUGGGCUAGUGGGAAUAAUAAUAAAAAAUAAUAGUCAGCACUUAUUGAAUGCUUACUAAGUGGCUGGCAUUGUUCUAAGCACUUUUACAUGCAUUAACUCGAGGUGAAAUAAAACCCAAAUACACAGAACUGGCAAAUGAGGGUCCAUGCUUGAGGGUUUGGAAAGACUUGGAAAUACCCUUUGGGCACAUCAAGCAGGCAAAAAAAAAAAAAAAAAAAAAAAAAAAUCAGCUGCAUUUUGGAAGCUUCCUCUGAUCAAAGAUACCCAUUCAUCCAACAUUUAUUUAUGAAAUGCCUGUUGUUUCCCAGGCAUUGUUCUAGGCACUGAGAACAGGACAGAUUCCAGGAGAAGGAGAAGUCCAGGAACACAAAAAGAUAGAAAGAAAUACUCAGAAGUGCCAUAUUUUUUACCUUUUCAUUGAUACUACCAGAAAAGGGAAAAAAUAAAUACUGUUUGAUUUUGCCACCAGGCACCACAAAACUGCGCCCCUGCCUGAUUUCAUUUCAGCAAGCUUUACUGUGAAGUGUUUAUGUGCCAGGUACCAUGUGUAGAAGCGCUGGCCCAGAGAUGAAGAUGAAGUUUCUAUCCUUAAGGCAUGCAAUGUGGGAGAUGAACAGAGACAGGCAAGAGAGCCACAGAAGAGAAAGUGAUGUGAAGACAGAAGCAGGGAUUGGAGUGAUCCAUCUACAAGCCAAGAAAUACCAAUGGUUGCUGCCAGCCACCAGGAUCUAGGAGAGUGGCAUGGAACAGAUUUUCCCUUAGAGCUUCCAGAAAGAACUAACCCUGUCAACACUGUGAUUCUGGACAGUGAGAGAGAAAUUUCUAUUGUUUUAAGCCAUCAAGUUUGUGGUAAUUUGUUAUGGCAACCGUAGGAAACAUCACCCAGUAAAUCCAAAUUAAAUAUUAUCCCAAUUUUUGCUUGAUACCA
This is a long non-coding RNA of Homo sapiens (human), 1623 nucleotides long. RefSeq lists it as uncharacterized. NCBI's taxonomy places the organism in Eukaryota, Metazoa, Chordata, Mammalia, Primates, Hominidae. The transcript has 2 exons. The record is from RefSeq and is a predicted model, not a curated record.